AACGCUGGCGGCGUGCCUAAUACAUGCAAGUCGAACGGUCUUUUCUAUGGAAGCUUGCUUCCACUGAGAAGAUAGUGGCGAACGGGUGAGUAACACGUGGGUAACCUGCCCAUAAGAGGGGGAUAACAUCCGGAAACGGGUGCUAAUACCGCAUAGUUUCUUGAUCGCAUGAUCGGGAAAGGAAAGACGGCCUUUGUGCUGUCGCUUAUGGAUGGACCCGCGGCGUAUUAGUUAGUUGGUGAGGUAACGGCUCACCAAGACGAUGAUACGUAGCCGACCUGAGAGGGUGAUCGGCCACAUUGGGACUGAGACACGGCCCAAACUCCUACGGGAGGCAGCAGUAGGGAAUCUUCCGCAAUGGACGAAAGUCUGACGGAGCAACGCCGCGUGAGUGAAGAAGGUUUUCGGAUCGUAAAACUCUGUUGUCAGAGAAGAACAAGUUGGAGAGUAACUGCUCCAGCCUUGACGGUAUCUGACCAGAAAGCCACGGCUAACUACGUG
This 501-nucleotide ribosomal RNA is filed under the name uncultured bacterium. Its description in RNAcentral is "bacterial SSU rRNA". It matches the Rfam family "Bacterial small subunit ribosomal RNA", at positions 32 to 507 of the family's 1533-position model. The record is from RNAcentral.